UACGUAGGGGGCAAGCGUUGUCCGGAUUUAUUGGGCGUAAAGAGCGUGUAGGCGGCCAGGUAGGUCCGUUGUUGAAAACUCGAGGCUCAACCUCGAGACGUCGGCGGAAACCCUCUGGCUAGAGUCCGGAAGAGGAGAGUGGAAUUCCUGGUGUAGCGGUGAAAUGCGUAGAUAUGCGGAGGAACACCGAUGGCGAAGGCAAUCCCCCUGGACCUGUACUGACGCUCAUGCACGAAAAGCGUGGGGAGCAAACAGG
Molecule: ribosomal RNA, 256 nt
Filed under: uncultured bacterium
Lineage: Bacteria
Description: partial 16S ribosomal RNA
Rfam family: Bacterial small subunit ribosomal RNA
Source: RNAcentral